Molecule: ribosomal RNA, 253 nt
Filed under: uncultured bacterium
Lineage: Bacteria
Description: partial 16S ribosomal RNA
Rfam family: Bacterial small subunit ribosomal RNA
Source: RNAcentral
UACGAAGGGUGCAAGCGUUGUUCGGAAUCACUGGGCGUAAAGAAUGCGUAGGCGGCUAGACAAGUCGGGAGUGAAAUCCCAGGGCUCAACCCUGGAACUGCUCUCGAAACUGUCUUGCUAGAGUCCCGGAGGGGUUAGCGGAAUUCCGAGUGUAGAGGUGAAAUUCGCAGAUAUUCGGAGGAACACCAGUGGCGAAGGCGGCUAACUGGACGGGAACUGACGCUGAGGCAUGAAAGUGUGGGGAUCAAACAGG